GAUAAACGCUGGCGGCGUGCUUAACACAUGCAAGUCGAACGAAGUUUUUCCUUCGGGAGAAACUUAGUGGCGGACGGGUGAGUAACGCGUGGGUAACCUGCCCUGUACAGGGGGACAACAGCUGGAAACGGCUGCUAAUACCGCAUAAGCCCUUAGCACUGCAUGGUGCAUAGGGAAAAGGAGCAAUCCGGUACAGGAUGGACCCGCGUCUGAUUAGCCAGUUGGCAGGGUAACGGCCUACCAAAGCGACGAUCAGUAGCCGAUCUGAGAGGAUGUACGGCCACAUUGGGACUGAGACACGGCCCAGACUCCUACGGGAGGCAGCAGUGGGGAAUAUUGCACAAUGGAGGAAACCCUGAUGCAGCGACGCCGCGUGAGUGAAGAAGUAUUUCGGUAUGUAAAGCUCUAUCAGCAGGGAAGAAAAUGACGGUACCUGACUAAGAAGCACCGGCUAAAUACGUG
This 462-nucleotide ribosomal RNA is filed under the name uncultured bacterium. Its description in RNAcentral is "partial 16S ribosomal RNA". It matches the Rfam family "Bacterial small subunit ribosomal RNA", at positions 28 to 507 of the family's 1533-position model. The record is from RNAcentral.